RNAcentral lists this ribosomal RNA (1442 nucleotides) under uncultured organism. Its description in RNAcentral is "partial small subunit ribosomal RNA". It matches the Rfam family "Bacterial small subunit ribosomal RNA". The record is from RNAcentral.
GAACGCUGGCGGCGUGCUUAACACAUGCAAGUCGAACGGAAAGGCCCUGCUUUUGUGGGGUGCUCGAGUGGCGAACGGGUGAGUAACACGUGAGUAACCUGCCCUUGACUUUGGGAUAACUUCAGGAAACUGGGGCUAAUACCGGAUAGGAGCUCCUGCUGCAUGGUGGGGGUUGGAAAGUUUCGGCGGUUGGGGAUGGACUCGCGGCUUAUCAGCUUGUUGGUGGGGUAGUGGCUUACCAAGGCUUUGACGGGUAGCCGGCCUGAGAGGGUGACCGGCCACAUUGGGACUGAGAUACGGCCCAGACUCCUACGGGAGGCAGCAGUGGGGAAUAUUGCACAAUGGGCGGAAGCCUGAUGCAGCAACGCCGCGUGCGGGAUGACGGCCUUCGGGUUGUAAACCGCUUUCGCCUGUGACGAAGCGUGAGUGACGGUAAUGGGUAAAGAAGCACCGGCUAACUACGUGCCAGCAGCCGCGGUGAUACGUAGGGUGCGAGCGUUGUCCGGAUUUAUUGGGCGUAAAGGGCUCGUAGGUGGUUGAUCGCGUCGGAAGUGUAAUCUUGGGGCUUAACCCUGAGCGUGCUUUCGAUACGGGUUGACUUGAGGAAGGUAGGGGAGAAUGGAAUUCCUGGUGGAGCGGUGGAAUGCGCAGAUAUCAGGAGGAACACCAGUGGCGAAGGCGGUUCUCUGGGCCUUUCCUGACGCUGAGGAGCGAAAGCGUGGGGAGCGAACAGGCUUAGAUACCCUGGUAGUCCACGCUGUAAACGGUGGGUACUAGGUGUGGGGUCCAUUCCACGGGUUCCGUGCCGUAGCUAACGCUUUAAGUACCCCGCCUGGGGAGUACGGCCGCAAGGCUAAAACUCAAAGGAAUUGACGGGGCCCCGCACAAGCGGCGGAGCAUGCGGAUUAAUUCGAUGCAACGCGUAGAACCUUACCUGGGUUUGACAUGGAUCGGGAGUGCUCAGAGAUGGGUGUGCCUCUUUUGGGGUCGGUUCACAGGUGGUGCAUGGCUGUCGUCAGCUCGUGUCGUGAGAUGUUGGGUUAAGUCCCGCAACGAGCGCAACCCUUGUUCACUGUUGCCAGCACGUUAUGGUGGGGACUCAGUGGAGACCGCCGGGGUCAACUCGGAGGAAGGUGGGGAUGACGUCAAGUCAUCAUGCCCCUUAUGUCCAGGGCUUCACGCAUGCUACAAUGGCUGGUACAGAGAGUGGCGAGCCUGUGAGGGUGAGCGAAUCUCGGAAAGCCGGUCUCAGUUCGGAUUGGGGUCUGCAACUCGACCUCAUGAAGUCGGAGUCGCUAGUAAUCGCAGAUCAGCAACGCUGCGGUGAAUACGUUCCCGGGGCUUGUACACACCGCCCGUCAAGUCAUGAAAGCUGGUAACACCCGAAGCCGGUGGCCUAACCGUUGUGGGGGAGCCGUCGAAGGUGGGACUGGUGAUUAGGA